This 392-nucleotide ribosomal RNA is filed under the name Escherichia coli. RNAcentral's name for it is "bacterial SSU rRNA". It matches the Rfam family "Bacterial small subunit ribosomal RNA", at positions 1050 to 1442 of the family's 1533-position model. Lineage: Bacteria; Pseudomonadati; Pseudomonadota; Gammaproteobacteria; Enterobacterales; Enterobacteriaceae. RNAcentral also lists the same sequence under 1 other name. The record is from RNAcentral.
UGUCGUCAGCUCGUGUUGUGAAAUGUUGGGUUAAGUCCCGCAACGAGCGCAACCCUUAUCCUUUGUUGCCAGCGGUCCGGCCGGGAACUCAAAGGAGACUGCCAGUGAUAAACUGGAGGAAGGUGGGGAUGACGUCAAGUCAUCAUGGCCCUUACGACCAGGGCUACACACGUGCUACAAUGGCGCAUACAAAGAGAAGCGACCUCGCGAGAGCAAGCGGACCUCAUAAAGUGCGUCGUAGUCCGGAUUGGAGUCUGCAACUCGACUCCAUGAAGUCGGAAUCGCUAGUAAUCGUGGAUCAGAAUGCCACGGUGAAUACGUUCCCGGGCCUUGUACACACCGCCCGUCACACCAUGGGAGUGAGUUGCAAAAGAAGUAGGUAGCUUAACCUU